This 82-nucleotide transfer RNA is filed under the name Ganoderma leucocontextum. RNAcentral's name for it is "tRNA-Asp". Lineage: Eukaryota; Fungi; Basidiomycota; Agaricomycetes; Polyporales; Polyporaceae. The record is from RNAcentral.
UCCCUGGUAGUAUAUCGGUUAGUACACGCGCCUGUCAUUAACCGGACCGCGCGAAAGCGGGGUUCGACUCCCCGCCAGGGAG